Molecule: ribosomal RNA, 305 nt
Filed under: uncultured bacterium
Lineage: Bacteria
Description: bacterial SSU rRNA
Rfam family: Bacterial small subunit ribosomal RNA
Source: RNAcentral
UGCCUACGGGAGGCAGCAGUGGGGAAUAUUGCACAAUGGGGGAAACCCUGAUGCAGCGACGCCGCGUGAGUGAAGAAGUAUUUCGGUACGUAAAGCUCUAUCAGCAGGGAAGAAAAUGACGGUACCUGACUAAGAAGCCCCGGCUAACUACGUGCCAGCAGCCGCGGUAAUACGUAGGGGGCAAGCGUUAUCCGGAUUUACUGGGUGUAAAGGGAGCGUAGACGGCCAGACAAGUCUGAAGUGAAAAUCCAGCGCUUAACGUUGGAAGUGCUUUGGAAACUGCCGGGCUAGAGUGCAGGAGGGGG